CCCGCCGGCGACCGGCGCACGGGUGAGUAACACGUAUGGAACCUGCCCGCAGCAGGGGGAUAAGCGGAAGAAAUUCCGUCUAAUACCGCGUAACACCGCAGAGGGGCAUCCCUCGGCGGUUAAAGAUUCAUCGGCUGCGGAUGGCCAUGCGGCGCAUUAGGUAGUUGGUAGGGUAACGGCCUACCAAGCCGACGAUGCGUAGGGGUUCUGAGAGGAAGGUCCCCCACAUUGGAACUGAGACACGGUCCAAACUCCUACGGAAGGCAGCAG
This 270-nucleotide ribosomal RNA is filed under the name uncultured bacterium. RNAcentral describes it as "partial 16S ribosomal RNA". It matches the Rfam family "Bacterial small subunit ribosomal RNA", at positions 84 to 354 of the family's 1533-position model. The record is from RNAcentral.